RNAcentral lists this ribosomal RNA (440 nucleotides) under uncultured bacterium. RNAcentral's name for it is "partial 16S ribosomal RNA". It matches the Rfam family "Bacterial small subunit ribosomal RNA", at positions 338 to 795 of the family's 1533-position model. The record is from RNAcentral.
CCUACGGGUGGCAGCAGUGGGGAAUAUUGCACAAUGGGGGAAACCCUGAUGCAGCGACGCCGCGUGAAGGAAGAAGUAUUUCGGUAUGUAAACCUCUAUCAGCAGGGAAGAAAAUGACGGUACCUGACUAAGAAGCCCCGGCUAACUACGUGCCAGCAGCCGCGGUAAUACGUAGGGGGCAAGCGUUAUCCGGAUUUACUGGGUGUAAAGGGAGCGUAGGCGGUUUAGCAAGUCAGAAGUGAAAGCCCGGGGCUCAACUCCGGGACUCCUUUUGAAACUGUUGAACUGGAGUGCAGGAGAGGUAAGUGGAAUGCCUAGUGUAGCGGUGAAAUGCGUAGAUAUUAGGAGGAACACCAGUGGCGAAGGCGGCUUACUGGACUGUAAAUGACGCUGAGGCUCGAAAGCGUGGGGAGCAAACAGGAUUAGAUACCCUUGUAGUC